RNAcentral lists this microRNA (21 nucleotides) under Prunus persica (peach). Its description in RNAcentral is "ppe-miR8125". The record is from miRBase by way of RNAcentral. Lineage: Eukaryota; Viridiplantae; Streptophyta; Magnoliopsida; Rosales; Rosaceae.
CAGGAAAGAAUGUGAUGAGUA